AAAGUUUUACUGACAAAAGCUCAAGUAGUUAUAUUUGAAAAACUACACCAAAUAGAGUCAUUAAAAAUUGUGAAAGAACUUUUAGUCACUAGAUAAAUCAUACUAGAUAUUCACUUAUUGCAAGACUCUUCAAUUGUGAUAAUUCCUAAAUUCUCACAAAACUCUAUGAAACAGUAAACUUUUGAUACUAUAAGAGGUUUUUUUUUUAAUUCAUUUUUAUUUUAAUUUUUGAAGUUUUUAAUUAUAUGGUUUAUAAUAAAUUCCAUUAAAAAUAGAACUUUAAUCGAAUCAAUUGAAGGUUAGUGGGAAAACAUCGCACACUUUUGUGGUACAUAUUUUAUUUUUAUUUUUUUUAAAAGAAAGUACAAGAAGAAAAACCACUAGUGUAAAUACUAAUUACAAAAGUCAAUAAAAAUAAAAUUUCCAGGAUGUGGGCUUGUAAAGAUAAAGUUGACCCAACAUCACAUUUUGCUUGUUUUAGGCCUUAGCAUAUAUAGAUUUGAUUGCCCAUUUCGCUUGACUAAUGAGUAAUGAACAUAAUUAUUAUCGACACGUGAAUGUGUACGAGUCUUCACUCCACUGUCCUGGUGCUUUCUUUCUUCAGCUUUCGGUUUAUAGUCAUAGCCCAUAGUCUUACCAAAGCUUAUUGACCAAUUAUUCAAUUUGAUUUGUUGUCGUUUAUGCAUUAAAUCAACGGACGGAUAAAUUGAUUCCUCGUGGUUUCUAUGUUAUAUUAACGGAUGCCAAUCAUGACAAACAAUCUCAAUCUUAGCCACAACUAUAUUAUUUAUUUUGGGUGAAUUUGGCACCUCCUAAUGACUUUUGAAAAAUCAAACACAACCAAACUUUAUUAAUUCAAUCAAUUGAAAUUUUGAAAUGAAUGAGGUUGGUUGAAAAGCAUCACACCCCUUUUCUUUUUUCUCUUUUGUAUUUUUUAAACAUUGCAUCACUUUACAAGCAUUCAUAUCAACUCUAAAAUAGCACCAUAUACAUACGCGAGUCCAAUACUUUGAAAUAUUUUUUAUGAAAAAGCUUCCACCACUAAUGCACACAUGCCUGGAAAGAUAAAGUGAUUUUUCUAGCCAAUUAGAUGUUGAUUCCCUGAAACAUAACAAAAAUGGAAAAGAAAAAGCAGAAAUGAGAAAGGACUGUUACGCCCCUGAAAAUUUUGAGAAAAUAAUUAUGAAAGGGAGCUGCUACCUUACAUGCAAUGUAAGGUACAGCCUCUAUCUGGGUCUCAUUUGGGCCCACAAGCCUUGUAAAAGACUGUACCUUACGUGCAUGUAAGGUAGCAAAAGUCAUUAUAAAAAUGUCUUAAGUUCGCAAUACCAAGAUUCCCUCUCUCUCUCUCUCUCUUUAAUCAUAAUAUCAUGGGAAAUUAUCAUUCGUAUACCUUAAAUUUAUACUUUUAUCAUAAAUACUAUAAUAUUUUAAGGGUGUAUCAAUCGUCUACCCUAAAUUGACAAAAGUUAUAUGCCGUCCACUAAAUCGUUAACUGCUGUUUGAAAGUUAACGGAAUAGUAACAAAUUGACGAUUUUACCUUAAAAAAUUAUCACUUGUAUACCCUUAAAUUAUCACUUAUAUCAUAUAAAAAGACUAGAUUACCCCUCUAACAUCAUCAUAUUUAAAUGGCAACUAACAGUUUGGUGGACGACAUAUAUAUUUUGUCAACUUAGGGUGGAUGACUGAUAAUGUUGUAGUAAAUUUGAUAACGGAGUAAACUAAGGGUAUACGAUUGAUAAUUUCUCUAAUAUCAUUUAUAUACAGUGACUAAAAAAUUAAUUUUAAAAUUUU
RNAcentral lists this long non-coding RNA (1795 nucleotides) under Citrus x clementina. RNAcentral's name for it is "Citrus clementina (C. clementina) long non-coding RNA (CCLE_LNC003055)". Lineage: Eukaryota; Viridiplantae; Streptophyta; Magnoliopsida; Sapindales; Rutaceae. The record is from RNAcentral.